RNAcentral lists this ribosomal RNA (1005 nucleotides) under Salmonella enterica. RNAcentral's name for it is "bacterial SSU rRNA". It matches the Rfam family "Bacterial small subunit ribosomal RNA", at positions 1 to 995 of the family's 1533-position model. RNAcentral also lists the same sequence under 2 other names. Lineage: Bacteria; Pseudomonadati; Pseudomonadota; Gammaproteobacteria; Enterobacterales; Enterobacteriaceae. The record is from RNAcentral.
AAAUUGAAGAGUUUGAUCAUGGCUCAGAUUGAACGCUGGCGGCAGGCCUAACACAUGCAAGUCGAACGGUAACAGAAAGCAGCUUGCUGCUUUGCUGACGAGUGGCGGACGGGUGAGUAAUGUCUGGGAAACUGCCUGAUGGAGGGGGAUAACUACUGGAAACGGUGGCUAAUACCGCAUAACGUCGCAAGACCAAAGAGGGGGACCUUCGGGCCUCUUGCCAUCAGAUGUGCCCAGAUGGGAUUAGCUUGUUGGUGAGGUAACGGCUCACCAAGGCGACGAUCCCUAGCUGGUCUGAGAGGAUGACCAGCCACACUGGAACUGAGACACGGUCCAGACUCCUACGGGAGGCAGCAGUGGGGAAUAUUGCACAAUGGGCGCAAGCCUGAUGCAGCCAUGCCGCGUGUAUGAAGAAGGCCUUCGGGUUGUAAAGUACUUUCAGCGGGGAGGAAGGUGUUGCGGUUAAUAACCGCAGCAAUUGACGUUACCCGCAGAAGAAGCACCGGCUAACUCCGUGCCAGCAGCCGCGGUAAUACGGAGGGUGCAAGCGUUAAUCGGAAUUACUGGGCGUAAAGCGCACGCAGGCGGUCUGUCAAGUCGGAUGUGAAAUCCCCGGGCUCAACCUGGGAACUGCAUUCGAAACUGGCAGGCUUGAGUCUUGUAGAGGGGGGUAGAAUUCCAGGUGUAGCGGUGAAAUGCGUAGAGAUCUGGAGGAAUACCGGUGGCGAAGGCGGCCCCCUGGACAAAGACUGACGCUCAGGUGCGAAAGCGUGGGGAGCAAACAGGAUUAGAUACCCUGGUAGUCCACGCCGUAAACGAUGUCUACUUGGAGGUUGUGCCCUUGAGGCGUGGCUUCCGGAGCUAACGCGUUAAGUAGACCGCCUGGGGAGUACGGCCGCAAGGUUAAAACUCAAAUGAAUUGACGGGGGCCCGCACAAGCGGUGGAGCAUGUGGUUUAAUUCGAUGCAACGCGAAGAACCUUACCUGGUCUUGACAUCCACAGAA